Molecule: ribosomal RNA, 490 nt
Filed under: uncultured bacterium
Lineage: Bacteria
Description: partial 16S ribosomal RNA
Rfam family: Bacterial small subunit ribosomal RNA
Source: RNAcentral
AUUGAACGCUGGCGGCAGGCCUAACACAUGCAAGUCGAACGGUAACAGGAAGAAGCUUGCUUCUUUGCUGACGAGUGGCGGACGGGUGAGUAAUGUCUGGGAAACUGCCUGAUGGAGGGGGAUAACUACUGGAAACGGUAGCUAAUACCGCAUAACGUCGCAAGACCAAAAAGGGGGACCUUCGGGCCUCUUGCCAUCGGAUGUGCCCAGAUGGGAUUAGCUAGUAGGUGGGGUAACGGCUCACCUAGGCGACGAUCCCUAGCUGGUCUGAGAGGAUGACCAGCCACACUGGAACUGAGACACGGUCCAGACUCCUACGGGAGGUAGCAGUGGGGAAUAUUGCACAAUGGGCGCAAGCCUGAUGCAGCCAUGCCGCGUGUAUGAAGAAGGCCUUCGGGUUGUAAAGUACUUUCAGCGGGGAGGAAGGGAGUAAAGUUAAUACCUUUGCUCAUUGACGUUACCCGCAGAAGAAGCACCGGCUAACUCCGUG